AGUGGCGUUUUCAACCGCACGCCGCAAAAGAUUAGAAAUUCGUGCCGUUUUUUAAAACGCGCCGCAAAGUUUGUGCCUGAUACUGCAAAACGUUACGUUUUAUAUGUUUUAUUUUAGUGGCGUUUUUUGGAAAACACUGCAAAAUGACUAUACUUUUGGUAUUUUUUGCAAAUUGUAUCAUGUAAAGUGGGAAGUUAUCCUGUAACUGGGAAGGGAAACGGCGCCGUUCUGUUCUUCGCCUUUAGUGGCGCUUUUGAAAAACGCCGCAAAGUUUUAUUCGGAGUUAAUAAAACUACGCCGUUUUACGUUGCUAUUACUGGCGCUUUACAUAAAACGCCGCAAAAUUGUAUUUAUGUUUAUCGAAAUGUUGUCGUUUUGCCAAUGGUAUUAGUGGCGUUUUUUUGGAAAUGCCACAAGCUUGAGUUAAAUGUCGUUUGACUUCGUUUGAUCUUAUAUUUAGUGGCGCUUCACUUAAAACGCCGCAACAUUGUUCUAACAUUUAUAGAAACACUGCCGUUUUUUAAAUGUUAUUAGUGGCGAUUUUUUUAAAACGCCACGGGUUUGAGGUAAGUGUUGCUGAAGCGACUGCGUUUUGAUUUAUAGUUAGUGGCGCUUGAACUAAAACGCCGCAAAAAUGUUUUAACAUUUAUCUAUACGAGGCCGUUUUGCUGUAUUAUUAGUGGCGUUUAUUCAAAAACGCCACAGGUGUGCGCUAUUUGUUGAUGAAACGACUGCGUUUCGACUUAUAGUUAGUGGUGCUUAUUUAUAAACACCGCAAAUGGUUAAUUUUUUAGAUGAAAACGGCGUCGUUUUUUUCCAUCAUUCUGACCAAAAUUGGAACCCGAUAUUUUUCAUCUGUUAUCCCCCAAAGCCUCCAUCAGAUUUCCCCCAAAAUUUAUUUUCCCCCCAAAUCCCUAAAAUUUCCCCUAAUCCCUAACAGCUCCCCAAACCCGACCACCUGCUACUCUACCGUCUCCUGUGCUGCAUCACUUUCUCUGUCCGUCUCUGGUGCCGCAACCAUCGCUACCGACGAUUUGAAGCUUCAACUUUCCCAGAAGCUCCAAGGCUGAAACCGAGGAGAAGACGCUAAAAUUACACUUUUCGGACUCCAUCUUCAGUUUUGGUCGAUACCCUUUCCAAGGCAGAAUUAAUAUUUGGUGCAACUUAAUACAUAUCUGACCAUUGACAUCUGGUUUGCUGCCUGUGUUUUGGCCGAACUAUUGUUUGGGCAGGUACAUGUUAAAAUUUGACAGUUUUUCCCUUCUUUGUAUGCAUUCUCCCAAAUCAGUUAACAAAAUAAAUAUUUCUCACUACAAUCUCUCUUUGCUGGUGAGAGUGAAGUAGACAAAGUUGAGUGAAAUAUUAAGGUAUGUUUUAGUUCAUAACUUAAAUCAGUAAUAGUUUUAUCAUGAUGAUUAGGGAAAAAUGUUUCUUUUGGGGCUCUGGUUUUGUAUAUAUGUAAUUGGUUUUG
Gossypium raimondii (Peruvian cotton) is the source of this 1471-nucleotide long non-coding RNA. RefSeq lists it as uncharacterized. The record is from RefSeq and is a predicted model, not a curated record. NCBI's taxonomy places the organism in Eukaryota, Viridiplantae, Streptophyta, Magnoliopsida, Malvales, Malvaceae. The transcript has 3 exons.